This is an unclassified non-coding RNA of Macaca fascicularis (crab-eating macaque), 148 nucleotides long. It matches the Rfam family "Metazoan signal recognition particle RNA". Rfam says of the family: The signal recognition particle (SRP) is a universally conserved ribonucleoprotein. It is involved in the co-translational targeting of proteins to membranes. The eukaryotic SRP consists of a 300-nucleotide 7S RNA and six proteins: SRPs 72, 68, 54, 19, 14, and 9. The record is from Ensembl. NCBI's taxonomy places the organism in Eukaryota, Metazoa, Chordata, Mammalia, Primates, Cercopithecidae.
GCUGGGCACAGUGGCUUGUGCCUGUAAUUCCAGCUACCUGGGAGGCUGAGGCAGGAGGAUCACUUGAGACCAGGAGUUCAAAGUUGCAGUGAGCUAUGACCAUGCCACUGCAUUCCAGCCUGGGCAACAGGGCAAGACCCUGUCUCAU